ACUCCUACGGGAGGCAGCAGUGGGAAUAUUGCACAAUGGGCGCAAGCCUGAUGCAGCCAUGCCGCGUGUAUGAAGAAGGCCUUCGGGUUGUAAAGCACUUUCAGUCGUGAGGAAGGUAGUGUAGUUAAUAGCUGCAUUAUUUGACGUUAGCGACAGAAGAAGCACCGGCUAACUCCGUGCCAGCAGCCGCGGUAAUACGGAGGGUGCAAGCGUUAAUCGGAAUUACUGGGCGUAAAGCGUGCGCAGGCGGUCUGUUAAGCGAGAUGUGAAAGCCCCGGGCUCAAGCCUGGGAACUGGCAUUUCGAACUGGCAGUACUAGAGUCUUGUAGAGGGGGGUAGAAUUCCAGGUGGU
Molecule: ribosomal RNA, 352 nt
Filed under: uncultured bacterium
Lineage: Bacteria
Description: bacterial SSU rRNA
Rfam family: Bacterial small subunit ribosomal RNA
Source: RNAcentral